Molecule: ribosomal RNA, 253 nt
Filed under: uncultured bacterium
Lineage: Bacteria
Description: partial 16S ribosomal RNA
Rfam family: Bacterial small subunit ribosomal RNA
Source: RNAcentral
GACAGAGGAUGCAAACGUUGCUCGGAAUCAUUGGGCGUAAAGAGCGUGUAGGCGGCCAGAAAAGUCCGCUGUGAAAACUCGAGGCUCAACUUCGAGCUGUCGGUGGAAACUUUCUGGCUAGAGUCCGGAAGAGGAGAAUGGAAUUCCUGGUGUAGCGGUGAAAUGCGCAGAUAUCAGGAAGAACACCCGUGGCGAAGGCGGUUCUCUGGGACGGUACUGACGCUGAGACGCGAAAGCGUGGGGAGCGAACAGG